GACAAACCGAGCGAACGUUGUUCGGAAUCACUGGGCUUAAAGGGCGCGUAGGCGGGCUGCCAAGUCUGGGGUGAAAGCCCCCGGCUCAACCGGGGAAGGGCCUCAGAUACUGGCGGCCUGGAGGGGGGUAGGGGCGUGCGGAACUGUGGGUGGAGCGGUGAAAUGCGUUGAGAUCCACAGGAACUCCGGUGGCGAAGGCGGCACGCUGGACCCCAUCUGACGCUGAGGCGCGAAAGCCAGGGGAGCGAACGGG
Molecule: ribosomal RNA, 253 nt
Filed under: uncultured bacterium
Lineage: Bacteria
Description: partial 16S ribosomal RNA
Rfam family: Bacterial small subunit ribosomal RNA
Source: RNAcentral